GCGAAAGUGGCGAAAUUGGUAGACGCGCUGGAUUUAGGUUCCAGUGCCGCAAGGCGUGAGUUCGAGUCUCUCCUUUCGCACCA
This 83-nucleotide transfer RNA is filed under the name Thiothrix sp. RNAcentral's name for it is "tRNA-Leu". It matches the Rfam family "tRNA". From Rfam's summary of the family: Transfer RNA (tRNA) molecules are approximately 80 nucleotides in length. Lineage: Bacteria; Pseudomonadati; Pseudomonadota; Gammaproteobacteria; Thiotrichales; Thiotrichaceae. The record is from RNAcentral.